GACGUUAGUCAGCCAUCUUCCCCCUUGCUAGCAAGCUGUAAUAAACUGCUCUUUCUUUUCCACCAUCUUGCCUCUUGACGAUUGGCUUUUGUCUCUCGGUGAGCAGAUCAUGCCCUUUGUGAGGUAACAAUCACACCAAGAAGAGUGGCAUUUGGGAGAAGGAUCUGUAGGGAAUAUACAGGAGGCUUUGGCUGUAUUUGUGAAACGUUUUCGCCCUUGAAUCCAGUGUCCCCUCUACUUCUGAGUCGUCUGAAAAGGCUGUCGCUGAGGCUGGAAAGAGGAGACAUAAAAGUGGAAAUGAGAUGCCAAGGAAUAAUUGGAAGAAAUGGGGCAAAUCUGCCUCAGGCCCACCCUCGAGCCCCAUAACAAGUCUCAACUUUAGCAGUUUCCACCUCUUCUUACUGCCUCUUUGAUACAUUUUCAAGGAGAUUUUUUGAAGUCAAGGCUGUAUCUUCCAAAAUGUUGAAGCACAAAGCAAUCCGCCCCAACAGAUAAUCCACUGUGUAAAAUUUUCUAAUUUGUGUCAGAAUGUACUUGGAAUGUGUAUAAUGCUUUUUUCCCAGAGUCACUUUACCAACCCCUUGGCUGAUUAUUUGGCAGGAUGCCCUGGUCGUGUAAAGUUAAACAAGGUUUUUAGAAUGUAAUUUCCUUAUAUAAACAACACGUUCUAUACUCUGA
Molecule: long non-coding RNA, 678 nt
Organism: Diceros bicornis minor
Lineage: Eukaryota; Metazoa; Chordata; Mammalia; Perissodactyla; Rhinocerotidae
Exons: 2
Source: RefSeq, a predicted model, not a curated record